GGUUUUUGAAAUCAUAUAAAAAAAUAUAAAAUUUGGCUAAAAGUGACAACACAACCUCAUUUAUAAGGAAAGGAACAUGUUUAAUUUCAUUCAAAAUUCCCCCACUGGUGGCCAUCUUGGAUGACGGAUCGGCUACAAAGUAACAACACUUGGUCAGCACCUCAUAAGGAACAUUCAUGCCAUGUUUGGUUUUAUUCCAUUCAGUGGUUCUCUAAAAGAAGUCAUUUGUAUGCAUUUCCCAUAGGGUCCUAUGUUAAACUAAGUCCCCUGCUGGCAGCCAUCUUGGAUGAUGGAUCGGCUACAAAGUAACAACACUUGGUCAGCACCUCAUAAGGAACAUUCAUGCAAUUUUUGGUUUUAUUCCAUUCAGUGGUUCUCUAAAAGAAGUCAUUUGUAUGCAUUUCCCAUAGGGUCCUAUGUUAAAC
Molecule: long non-coding RNA, 425 nt
Filed under: Mytilus galloprovincialis (Mediterranean mussel)
Lineage: Eukaryota; Metazoa; Mollusca; Bivalvia; Mytilida; Mytilidae
Source: RNAcentral